GGGAAGCCCGGUGCACGCCGGGAGAUGGAGUUCUCCUGGCAGGACCUAUCGCCUGCCCCUGCGCCCCUUCUCAGGCGAGUGUCCUGGGAGCGAACGCCGAGGACGAGGGUCGUGCGGCCGGGCCGGGGUGCCUGCGCAGCCGGCCGGAGUCGGCAAGAAGCUGGGGAGCGCCGGGGAGAAUGGAGAAGCUUCAAGAAGUGAUUACCAGGAAAAGUACCUCAAGAUCAAACAUCAAAUCUUCCAGGCGUCUGACAACAUUUACUUGGCACAGAUCCAUCAACCAUGUAAUAAUGCAGAUAGGUGCGGCCGUCCCAGUUUCCAGGGGAUGGUGGCGUCUUCCUGACCGAGGAGGGGUGUGAGGCUGCGGUCCGGGGCCUGCAGGGAAGCUGCACCAGGAGGAGCCCCACGGCCCGGGGACAGUGCCGGCGGCCACCGUGGGAAACCGAAGCCGAGCCGCGGGCCAGCUGCCCGGCCUGCUGCUGCUUUUGCGUCCCAGGGUGUGCCCUUGAGCCGUCUCCGAGGGCCAAGGUCCUCAGCUUGUGGCGUUUCGUCAGGCCGGCCGGCGCCGGGCCACGCGCUGCAGAGCACGGGCAGGGAGAGGCCUGCGGUGGCCACACCGACCCCCUGCGAGCCC
This 634-nucleotide long non-coding RNA is filed under the name Suricata suricatta (meerkat). RNAcentral describes it as "lncRNA (ENSSSUG00005011220.1)". Lineage: Eukaryota; Metazoa; Chordata; Mammalia; Carnivora; Herpestidae. The record is from RNAcentral.